UACGUAGGGUGCAAGCGUUUGUCCGGAAUUAUUGGGCGUAAAGAGCUCGUAGGCGGUUUGUCGCGUCUGCUGUGAAAACUCAGGGCUUAACUCUGAGCUUGCAGUGGGUACGGGCAGACUAGAGUGCGGUAGGGGAGACUGGAAUUCCUGGUGUAGCGGUGAAAUGCGCAGAUAUCAGGGAGGGAACACCGGUGGCGAAGGCGGGUCUCUGGGCCGUAACUGACGCUGGAGGAGCGAAAGCGUGGGGAGCAAACAGG
This 257-nucleotide ribosomal RNA is filed under the name uncultured bacterium. Its description in RNAcentral is "partial 16S ribosomal RNA". It matches the Rfam family "Bacterial small subunit ribosomal RNA", at positions 524 to 776 of the family's 1533-position model. The record is from RNAcentral.